Molecule: ribosomal RNA, 468 nt
Filed under: uncultured bacterium
Lineage: Bacteria
Description: partial 16S ribosomal RNA
Rfam family: Bacterial small subunit ribosomal RNA
Source: RNAcentral
GACGAACGCUGGCGGCGUGCUUAACACAUGCAAGUCGAACGGAAAGGCCCUGCUUUUGUGGGGUGCUCGAGUGGCGAACGGGUGAGUAACACGUGAGUAACCUGCCCUUGACUUUGGGAUAACUUCAGGAAACUGGGGCUAAUACCGGAUAGGAGCUGCUGCUGCAUGGUGGGGGGUGGAAAGUUUCGGCGGGUGGGGAUGGACUCGCGGCUUAUGAGCUUGUUGGUGGGGUAGUGGCUUACCAAGGCUUUGACGGGUAGCCGGCCUGAGAGGGUGACCGGCCACAUUGGGACUGAGAUACGGCCCAGACUCCUACGGGAGGCAGCAGUGGGGAAUAUUGCACAAUGGGCGGAAGCCUGAUGCAGCAACGCCGCGUGCGGGAUGACGGCCUUCGGGUUGUAAACCGCUUUCGCCUGUGACGAAGCGUGAGUGACGGUAGUGGGUAAAGAAGCACCGGCUAACUACGUG